AAAUACCAGAAACCCGAUCCCAGUCCUGAUUGCAGUCUGCAACUCGACUGCAUGAAGUCGGAAUCGCUAGUAAUCGCAGAUCAGCAUUGCUGCGGUGAAUACGUUCCCGGGCCUUGUACACACCGCCCGUCACACCAUGGGAGUUGGUUGCUCCAGAAGCAGGUAGUCUAACCGCAAGGGGGACGCUUGCCACGGAGUGGUCAAUGACUGGGGUGAAGUCGUAACAAGGUAACCGUAA
Molecule: ribosomal RNA, 238 nt
Filed under: uncultured bacterium
Lineage: Bacteria
Description: partial 16S ribosomal RNA
Rfam family: Bacterial small subunit ribosomal RNA
Source: RNAcentral